RNAcentral lists this ribosomal RNA (448 nucleotides) under uncultured bacterium. Its description in RNAcentral is "bacterial SSU rRNA". It matches the Rfam family "Bacterial small subunit ribosomal RNA", at positions 330 to 795 of the family's 1533-position model. The record is from RNAcentral.
UCCAGACUCCUGCGGGAGGCAGCAGUGGGGGAUAUUGCACAAUGGGGGCAACCCUGAUGCAGCGACGCCGCGUGAGCGAUGGAGUACUUCGGUAUGUAAAGCUCUGUCAGCAGGGAAGAGAAUGACGGUACCUGACCAAGAAGCCCCGGCUAAAUACGUGCCAGCAGCCGCGGUAAUACGUAUGGGGCAAGCGUUAUCCGGAUUCACUGGGUGUAAAGGGAGCGUAGACGGCGAUGCAAGCCAGAUGUGAAAGCCCGGGGCUCAACCCCGGGACUGCAUUUGGAACUGUAUAGCUAGAGUGUCGGAGAGGCAGGCGGAAUUCCUAGUGUAGCGGUGAAAUGCGUAGAUAUUAGGAGGAACACCAGUGGCGAAGGCGGCCUGCUGGACGAUGACUGACGUUGAGGCUCGAAAGCGUGGGGAGCAAACAGGAUUAGAUACCCGUGUAUCU